RNAcentral lists this small nucleolar RNA (122 nucleotides) under Mus spicilegus (steppe mouse). RNAcentral describes it as "Small nucleolar RNA SNORA17 (ENSMSIG00000024737.1)". It matches the Rfam family "Small nucleolar RNA SNORA17". Rfam says of the family: snoRNA ACA 17 belongs to the H/ACA family of snoRNAs and is predicted to guide pseudouridylation of the 28S rRNA at positions U4659 and U4598. It shares the same host gene together with ACA43. The record is from Rfam by way of RNAcentral. Lineage: Eukaryota; Metazoa; Chordata; Mammalia; Rodentia; Muridae.
CCUGCUCUUAGGGGCACUGCAGAGGUUUGCAUGAGCCUCAGCAGGUGGCAGAGAGGAGAGAGGCUAUGUCUACACUCAGCGUUCUGAGCUGUGAACAACAGAAUGAUUAAUAGCCUAAUAUU